Molecule: ribosomal RNA, 200 nt
Filed under: uncultured bacterium
Lineage: Bacteria
Description: partial 16S ribosomal RNA
Rfam family: Bacterial small subunit ribosomal RNA
Source: RNAcentral
AACGAACGCUGGCGGCAGGCUUAACACAUGCAAGUCGAACGCCCCUUACGGGGAGUGGCAGAAGGGUGAGUAACGCGUGGGAAUCUACCCAUCUCUACGGAAUAACUCAGGGAAACUUGUGCUAAUACCGUAUACGCCCUUCGGGGGAAGAUUUAUCGGAGAUGGAUGAGCCCGCGUUGGAUUAGCUAGUUGGUGGGUAA